AACAGCAAAACAGCUGCAUCGAUAUCCCACCAGUUGGAGACUCCGAUUCCAACAGCACAUCACAACAGGAAAUAUUAUCUAAUCUUGGAGGAUCGCGGAUGGGAAUUCAUGAUUUUUCUGCUUGGAGAGAUAGCAGAAAUGAGAUGCUAUACCUCAGUCUUGGCUCCAAUAUACCAUCUGGAAUUGGAAUUUCACAUGUCCAUUCUCAGAAUCCUAACCAUUGGAGAGAUAGCAGGAAUGAGAUGCUAUACCUCAGUCUUGGCUCUAAUAUACCAUCUGGAAUUGGAAUUUCACAUGUCCAAUCUCAGAAUCCUAGCCAAGGUCUUACGUCAUUCUUGAAUCCUGCUUCAUCUAUUCCAGGUGAAGUUAGUGGUGGCAAUGUGUCCUUCGG
RNAcentral lists this long non-coding RNA (391 nucleotides) under Nicotiana benthamiana. Its description in RNAcentral is "long non-coding RNA (NBEN_LNC030439)". The record is from RNAcentral. Lineage: Eukaryota; Viridiplantae; Streptophyta; Magnoliopsida; Solanales; Solanaceae.